Molecule: ribosomal RNA, 2110 nt
Filed under: Salmonella enterica
Lineage: Bacteria; Pseudomonadati; Pseudomonadota; Gammaproteobacteria; Enterobacterales; Enterobacteriaceae
Also listed under: 2 other names
Description: partial 23S ribosomal RNA
Rfam family: Bacterial large subunit ribosomal RNA
Source: RNAcentral
AGACCCGAAACCCGGUGAUCUAGCCAUGGGCAGGUUGAAGGUUGGGUAACACUAACUGGAGGACCGAACCGACUAAUGUUGAAAAAUUAGCGGAUGACCUGUGGCUGGGGGUGAAAGGCCAAUCAAACCGGGAGAUAGCUGGUUCUCCCCGAAAGCUAUUUAGGUAGCGCCUCGUGAAUUCAUCUCCGGGGGUAGAGCACUGUUUCGGCUAGGGGGCCAUCCCGGCUUACCAACCCGAUGCAAACUGCGAAUACCGGAGAAUGUUAUCACGGGAGACACACGGCGGGUGCUAACGUCCGUCGUGAAGAGGGAAACAACCCAGACCGCCAGCUAAGGUCCCAAAGUCAUGGUUAAGUGGGAAACGAUGUGGGAAGGCCCAGACAGCCAGGAUGUUGGCUUAGAAGCAGCCAUCAUUUAAAGAAAGCGUAAUAGCUCACUGGUCGAGUCGGCCUGCGCGGAAGAUGUAACGGGGCUAAACCAUGCACCGAAGCUGCGGCAGCGACACUGUGUGUUGUUGGGUAGGGGAGCGUUCUGUAAGCCUGCGAAGGUGGCCUGUGAGGGUUGCUGGAGGUAUCAGAAGUGCGAAUGCUGACAUAAGUAACGAUAAAGCGGGUGAAAAGCCCGCUCGCCGGAAGACCAAGGGUUCCUGUCCAACGUUAAUCGGGGCAGGGUGAGUCGACCCCUAAGGCGAGGCCGAAAGGCGUAGUCGAUGGGAAACGGGUUAAUAUUCCCGUACUUGGUGUUACUGCGAAGGGGGGACGGAGAAGGCUAUGUUGGCCGGGCGACGGUUGUCCCGGUUUAAGCGUGUAGGUGUGUGUUCCAGGUAAAUCCGGUUCACUUUAACACUGAGGCGUGACGACGAGGCACUACGGUGCUGAAGCAACAAAUGCCCUGCUUCCAGGAAAAGCCUCUAAGCAUCAGGUAACAUCAAAUCGUACCCCAAACCGACACAGGUGGUCAGGUAGAGAAUACCAAGGCGCUUGAGAGAACUCGGGUGAAGGAACUAGGCAAAAUGGUGCCGUAACUUCGGGAGAAGGCACGCUGACACGUAGGUGAAGUGAUUUACUCAUGGAGCUGAAGUCAGUCGAAGAUACCAGCUGGCUGCAACUGUUUAUUAAAAACACAGCACUGUGCAAACACGAAAGUGGACGUAUACGGUGUGACGCCUGCCCGGUGCCGGAAGGUUAAUUGAUGGGGUCAGCGCAAGCGAAGCUCCUGAUCGAAGCCCCGGUAAACGGCGGCCGUAACUAUAACGGUCCUAAGGUAGCGAAAUUCCUUGUCGGGUAAGUUCCGACCUGCACGAAUGGCGUAAUGAUGGCCAGGCUGUCUCCACCCGAGACUCAGUGAAAUUGAACUCGCUGUGAAGAUGCAGUGUACCCGCGGCAAGACGGAAAGACCCCGUGAACCUUUACUAUAGCUUGACACUGAACAUUGAGCCUUGAUGUGUAGGAUAGGUGGGAGGCUUUGAAGUGUGGACGCCAGUCUGCAUGGAGCCGACCUUGAAAUACCACCCUUUAAUGUUUGAUGUUCUAACGUGGACCCGUUACCCGGGUUGCGGACAGUGUCUGGUGGGUAGUUUGACUGGGGCGGUCUCCUCCUAAAGAGUAACGGAGGAGCACGAAGGUUGGCUAAUCCUGGUCGGACAUCAGGAGGUUAGUGCAAUGGCAUAAGCCAGCUUGACUGCGAGCGUGACGGCGCGAGCAGGUGCGAAAGCAGGUCAUAGUGAUCCGGUGGUUCUGAAUGGAAGGGCCAUCGCUCAACGGAUAAAAGGUACUCCGGGGAUAACAGGCUGAUACCGCCCAAGAGUUCAUAUCGACGGCGGUGUUUGGCACCUCGAUGUCGGCUCAUCACAUCCUGGGGCUGAAGUAGGUCCCAAGGGUAUGGCUGUUCGCCAUUUAAAGUGGUACGCGAGCUGGGUUUAGAACGUCGUGAGACAGUUCGGUCCCUAUCUGCCGUGGGCGCUGGAGAACUGAGGGGGGCUGCUCCUAGUACGAGAGGACCGGAGUGGACGCAUCACUGGUGUUCGGGUUGUCAUGCCAAUGGCACUGCCCGGUAGCUAAAUGCGGAAGAGAUAAGUGCUGAAAGCAUCUAAGCACGAAACUUGCCCCGA